RNAcentral lists this ribosomal RNA (465 nucleotides) under uncultured bacterium. RNAcentral's name for it is "partial 16S ribosomal RNA". It matches the Rfam family "Bacterial small subunit ribosomal RNA", at positions 39 to 523 of the family's 1533-position model. The record is from RNAcentral.
GCGGCGUGCUUCAUACAUACAAGUCGAACGAGAAGCAGGAGCUUGCUCCUGUGGAAAGUGGCGGACGGGUGAGUAACACGUAGGAAAUCUGCCUUUGGGUGGGGGACAACAGUUGGAAACGACUGCUAAUACCCCAUAUGAGCUUGGUUGCAAUACCAAUCUUGAAAACUCCGGUGCCUAAAGAUGAGCCUGCGUCUGAUUAGCUUGUUGGCGGGGUAAUGGCCCACCAAGGCGACGAUCAGUAGCUGGUUUGAGAGGAUGAUCAGCCACAAUGGGACUGAGACACGGCCCAUACUCCUACGGGAGGCAGCAGCAGGGGAUUUUGCGCAAUGGGGGAAACCCUGACGCAGCAACGCCGCGUGAAUGACGAAGCCCUUCGGGGUGUAAAGUUCUAUCAGUAGGGAAGAAUUUUGACUGUACCUACAAAGGAAGCACCGGCUAACUCCGUGCCAGCCGCCGCCGUAA